This 233-nucleotide long non-coding RNA is filed under the name Gossypium raimondii (Peruvian cotton). RNAcentral describes it as "long non-coding RNA (GRAI_LNC003443)". The record is from RNAcentral. Lineage: Eukaryota; Viridiplantae; Streptophyta; Magnoliopsida; Malvales; Malvaceae.
UUCCUCUCUCAAAAUCGGCCCCCAAAACAUUUUCUCUUCGUUAUUCUCCAAAUCCCUAAAAAAACCCCCCAAAACCCUAAAACCUAAAACAGGGCUAUAAUCGGAAGCUUGUUUCAUUAGAUUUGGAGGAAUAAAAGAAAAGAGUAGAAAGGGGGAAUGGAUUCAGAUCAGGGGAAGCUGUUUAUUGGAGGGAUAUCAUGGGAAACAAGUGAGGAUAGGCUAAAGGAGUACUU